CCCCUAGAUGUUCUGGGCCGCACGCGCGCUACACUGAACAGUUCAACAAGUCUUAACCUUGGCCGAUAGGUCUGGGUAAUCUUUGAACGCUGUUCGUGAUUGGGAUAGACCUUUGCAAUUAUGGGUCUUCAACGAGGAAUUCCUAGUAAACGCAAGUCAUCAGCUUGCAUUGAUUACGUCCCUGCCCUUUGUACACACCGCCCGUCGCACCUACCGAUUGAAUGAUCCGGUGAGGCCCCCGGAUUGUGGCAAUGGCUCUGGUUCGCCAGACCAAUGCUGCGAGAAGCUGUCCAAACCUUAUCAUUUAGAGGAAGGAGAAGUCGUAACA
This 328-nucleotide ribosomal RNA is filed under the name uncultured eukaryote. RNAcentral describes it as "partial 18S ribosomal RNA". It matches the Rfam family "Eukaryotic small subunit ribosomal RNA", at positions 1470 to 1796 of the family's 1831-position model. The record is from RNAcentral.